RNAcentral lists this transfer RNA (72 nucleotides) under Ictidomys tridecemlineatus (thirteen-lined ground squirrel). Its description in RNAcentral is "Spermophilus tridecemlineatus (thirteen-lined ground squirrel) tRNA". It matches the Rfam family "tRNA". From Rfam's summary of the family: Transfer RNA (tRNA) molecules are approximately 80 nucleotides in length. Their secondary structure includes four short double-helical elements and three loops (D, anti-codon, and T loops). Further hydrogen bonds mediate the characteristic L-shaped molecular structure. tRNAs have two regions of fundamental functional importance: the anti-codon, which is responsible for specific mRNA codon recognition, and the 3' end, to which the tRNAs corresponding amino acid is attached (by aminoacyl-tRNA synthetases). tRNAs cope with the degeneracy of the genetic code in two manners: having more than one tRNA (with a specific anti-codon) for a particular amino acid; and 'wobble' base-pairing, i.e. permitting non-standard base-pairing at the 3rd anti-codon position. Lineage: Eukaryota; Metazoa; Chordata; Mammalia; Rodentia; Sciuridae. The record is from Rfam by way of RNAcentral.
GAGGAUGUAGCUCAGUUGGUAGAGUGCAUGCCUUGCAUGCACAAGGCCCUGGGUUCAAUCCCCAGCACCACA